This 879-nucleotide ribosomal RNA is filed under the name uncultured bacterium. RNAcentral describes it as "bacterial SSU rRNA". It matches the Rfam family "Bacterial small subunit ribosomal RNA", at positions 620 to 1506 of the family's 1533-position model. The record is from RNAcentral.
AAUUGCGAUGAGACUGCAAGGCUAGAUCUGCAGAGGGGGUAGAAUUCCACGUGUAGCAGUGAAAUGCGUAGAGAUGUGGAGGACACCGAUGGCGAAGGCAGCCCCUGGGUCAAGAUUGACGCUCAUGCACGAAAGCGUGGGGAGCAAACAGGAUUAGAUACCCUGGUAGUCCACGCCGUAAACGAUGAUAACUAGCUGCUAGGGCCCACAGGGCUUUGGUGGCGCAGCUAACGCAUUAAGUUAUCCGCCUGGGGAGUACGGUCGCAAGAUUAAAACUCAAAGGAAUUGACGGGGGCCUGCACAAGCGGUGGAGCAUGUGGUUUAAUUCGACGCAACGCGCAGAACCUUACCAGCGUUUGACAUCCUUAUCGCGGAUUCCAGAGAUGGUUUCCUUCAGCUCGGCUGGAUAAGUGACAGGUGCUGCAUGGCUGUCGUCAGCUCGUGUCGUGAGAUGUUGGGUUAAGUCCCGCAACGAGCGCAACCCUUGCCAUUAGCUGCUACGAAAGGGCACUCUAAUGGGACUGCCGGUGAUAAACCGGAGGAAGGUGGGGAUGACGUCAAGUCCUCAUGGCCCUUAUAGGUGGGGCUACACACGUCAUACAAUGGCUGGUACAAAGGGUUGCCAACCCGCGAGGGGGAGCUAAUCCCAUAAAACCAGUCGUAGUCCGGAUCGCAGUCUGCAACUCGACUGCGUGAAGUCGGAAUCGCUAGUAAUCGUGGAUCAGAAUGUCACGGUGAAUACGUUCCCGGGUCUUGUACACACCGCCCGUCACACCAUGGGAGCGGGUUCUGCCAGAAGUAGUUAGCCUAACCGCAAGGAGGGCAAUUACCACGGCAGGGUUCGUGACUGGGGUGAAGUCGUAACAAGGUAACCAAGGG